GGAGGUGUGGCUCAGUGGUAGAGUGUUCACCUAGCAUGUGCAAGGCAUUGGGUUCAAUCCUCAGCACUACAU
RNAcentral lists this transfer RNA (72 nucleotides) under Marmota marmota marmota (Alpine marmot). It matches the Rfam family "tRNA". Rfam says of the family: Transfer RNA (tRNA) molecules are approximately 80 nucleotides in length. Their secondary structure includes four short double-helical elements and three loops (D, anti-codon, and T loops). Further hydrogen bonds mediate the characteristic L-shaped molecular structure. tRNAs have two regions of fundamental functional importance: the anti-codon, which is responsible for specific mRNA codon recognition, and the 3' end, to which the tRNAs corresponding amino acid is attached (by aminoacyl-tRNA synthetases). tRNAs cope with the degeneracy of the genetic code in two manners: having more than one tRNA (with a specific anti-codon) for a particular amino acid; and 'wobble' base-pairing, i.e. permitting non-standard base-pairing at the 3rd anti-codon position. Lineage: Eukaryota; Metazoa; Chordata; Mammalia; Rodentia; Sciuridae. RNAcentral also lists the same sequence under 1 other name. The record is from Rfam by way of RNAcentral.